RNAcentral lists this ribosomal RNA (450 nucleotides) under uncultured bacterium. Its description in RNAcentral is "bacterial SSU rRNA". It matches the Rfam family "Bacterial small subunit ribosomal RNA", at positions 354 to 796 of the family's 1533-position model. The record is from RNAcentral.
GUGGGGAAUUUUGGACAAUGGGGGCAACCCUGAUCCAGCCAUGCCGCGUGCGGGAAGAAGGCCUUCGGGUUGUAAACCGCUUUUGUCAGGGAAGAAAUCCUUUGGGUUAAUACCUCGGAGGGAUGACGGUACCUGAAGAAUAAGCACCGGCUAACUACGUGCCAGCAGCCGCGGUAAUACGUAGGGUGCGAGCGUUAAUCGGAAUUACUGGGCGUAAAGCGUGCGCAGGCGGUUUUGUAAGAUCGAUGUGAAAUCCCCGGGCUCGACCUGGGAACUGCAUUGGUGACUGCAAGGCUGGAGUGCGGCAGAGGGGGAUGGAAUUCCGCGUGUAGCAGUGAAAUGCGUAGAUAUGCGGAGGAACACCGAUGGCGAAGGCAAUCCCCUGGGCCUGCACUGACGCUCAUGCACGAAAGCGUGGGGAGCAAACAGGAUUAGAUACCCGGGUAGUCC